Molecule: ribosomal RNA, 1434 nt
Filed under: uncultured organism
Description: partial small subunit ribosomal RNA
Rfam family: Bacterial small subunit ribosomal RNA
Source: RNAcentral
CGCUGGCGGCGUGCUUAACACAUGCAAGUCGAACGGAAAGGCCCUGCUUUUGUGGGGUGCUCGAGUGGCGAACGGGUGAGUAACACGUGAGUAACCUGCCCUUGACUUUGGGAUAACUUCAGGAAACUGGGGCUAAUACCGGAUAGGAGCUCCUGCUGCAUGGUGGGGGUUGGAAAGUUUCGGCGGUUGGGGAUGGACUCGCGGCUUAUCAGCUUGUUGGUGGGGUAGUGGCUUACCAAGGCUUUGACGGGUAGCCGGCCUGAGAGGGUGACCGGCCACAUUGGGACUGAGAUACGGCCCAGACUCCUACGGGAGGCAGCAGUGGGGAAUAUUGCACAAUGGGCGGAAGCCUGAUGCAGCAACGCCGCGUGCGGGAUGACGGCCUUCGGGUUGUAAACCGCUUUCGCCUGUGACGAAGCGUGAGUGACGGUAAUGGGUAAAGAAGCACCGGCUAACUACGUGCCAGCAGCCGCGGUGAUACGUAGGGUGCGAGCGUUGUCCGGAUUUAUUGGGCGUAAAGGGCUCGUAGGUGGUUGAUCGCGUCGGAAGUGUAAUCUUGGGGCUUAACCCUGAGCGUGCUUUCGAUACGGGUUGACUUGAGGAAGGUAGGGGAGAAUGGAAUUCCUGGUGGAGCGGUGGAAUGCGCAGAUAUCAGGAGGAACACCAGUGGCGAAGGCGGUUCUCUGGGCCUUUCCUGACGCUGAGGAGCGAAAGCGUGGGGAGCGAACAGGCUUAGAUACCCUGGUAGUCCACGCUGUAAACGGUGGGUACUAGGUGUGGGGUCCAUUCCACGGGUUCCGUGCCGUAGCUAACGCUUUAAGUACCCCGCCUGGGGAGUACGGCCGCAAGGCUAAAACUCAAAGGAAUUGACGGGGCCCCGCACAAGCGGCGGAGCAUGCGGAUUAAUUCGAUGCAACGCAUAGAACCUUACCUGGGUUUGACAUGGAUCGGGAGUGCUCAGAGAUGGGUGUGCCUCUUUUGGGGUCGGUUCACAGGUGGUGCAUGGCUGUCGUCAGCUCGUGUCGUGAGAUGUUGGGUUAAGUCCCGCAACGAGCGCAACCCUUGUUCACUGUUGCCAGCACGUUAUGGUGGGGACUCAGUCGAGACCGCCGGGGUCAACUCGGAGGAAGGUGGGGAUGACGUCAAGUCAUCAUGCCCCUUAUGUCCAGGGCUUCACGCAUGCUACAAUGGCUGGUACAGAGAGUGGCGAGCCUGUGAGGGUGAGCGAAUCUCGGAAAGCCGGUCUCAGUUCGGAUUGGGGUCUGCAACUCGACCUCAUGAAGUCGGAGUCGCUAGUAAUCGCAGAUCAGCAACGCUGCGGUGAAUACGUUCCCGGGGCUUGUACACACCGCCCGUCAAGUCAUGAAAGUUGGUAACACCCGAAGCCGGUGGCCUAACCGUUGUGGGGGAGCCGUCGAAGGUGGGACUGGUGAA